Molecule: ribosomal RNA, 460 nt
Filed under: uncultured bacterium
Lineage: Bacteria
Description: partial 16S ribosomal RNA
Rfam family: Bacterial small subunit ribosomal RNA
Source: RNAcentral
CCUACGGGAGGCAGCAGUGAGGAAUAUUGGUCAAUGGCCGGAAGGCUGAACCAGCCAUGCCGCGUGAAGGUCAGUGCCCUAUGGGCGUUAAACUUCUUUUGUGCGGGAGCAAUAAUGGUCACGUGUGGCCAGACGAGAGUACCGUACGAAUAAGCAUCGGCUAACUCCGUGCCAGCAGCCGCGGUAAUACGGGGGAUGCAAGCGUUAUCCGGAUUUAUUGGGUUUAAAGGGUGCGUAGGCUGUGAGGUAAGUCAGCGGUGAAAUGCCUCCGCUCAACGGGGUGAAGUGCCAUUGAUACUGCCUGGCUGGAAUGCGGAUGCCGUGGGAGGAAUGUGUGGUGUAGCGGUGAAAUGCAUAGAUAUCACACAGAACACCGAUUGCGAAGGCAUCUCACGAAUCCGCGAUUGACGCUGAUGCACGAAAGCGUGGGUAUCAAACAGGAUUAGAUACCCGAGUAGUC